GAUGAACGCUGGCGGCGUGCCUAAUACAUGCAAGUCGAGCGAACAGACGAGGAGCUUGCUCCUCUGACGUUAGCGGCGGACGGGUGAGUAACACGUGGAUAACCUACCUAUAAGACUGGGAUAACUUCGGGAAACCGGAGCUAAUACCGGAUAAUAUAUUGAACCGCAUGGUUCAAUAGUGAAAGACGGUUUUGCUGUCACUUAUAGAUGGAUCCGCGCCGCAUUAGCUAGUUGGUAAGGUAACGGCUUACCAAGGCAACGAUGCGUAGCCGACCUGAGAGGGGGAUCGGCCACACUGGAACUGAGACACGGUCCAGACUCCUACGGGAGGCAGCAGUAGGGAAUCUUCCGCAAUGGGCGAAAGCUUGACGGAGCAACGCCGCGUGAGUGAUGAAGGUCUUCGGAUCGUAAAACGCUGUUAUUAGGGAAGAACAAAUGUGUAAGUAACUAUGCACGUCUUGACGGUACCUAAUCAGAAAGCCACGGCUAACUACGU
Molecule: ribosomal RNA, 496 nt
Filed under: uncultured bacterium
Lineage: Bacteria
Description: partial 16S ribosomal RNA
Rfam family: Bacterial small subunit ribosomal RNA
Source: RNAcentral